RNAcentral lists this long non-coding RNA (1120 nucleotides) under Pan troglodytes (chimpanzee). RNAcentral's name for it is "long non-coding RNA NONPTRT017234". The record is from RNAcentral. Lineage: Eukaryota; Metazoa; Chordata; Mammalia; Primates; Hominidae.
CUCGGGGUGGGGUGAUCAGAGGUCUCUGAGGCAAUGAUCUGGAAGCUGCCACCUACAAGAUAAAGAGUAAGCAAGAUAGAGACAGCAGGAAUGAGCUCUCCGACGGAGGGCAUGAACAGCAAGUGCAAAGGCCCUGCGACUCGAAAGAGCAUGAAAGACUGAGGAAGCGGCCAGUGUGGCUCCAACACAGUGGAGGAGUGGGGGGAUCCUACUGAGAUAGAGGCCCUGGGCUGAAUAAUUCUCAUCCUUCAAGGCCCAACUCCAGCCAAUGGCACCGACCUCCUGGACCUGCUAGGCAGAAGUGGUGGCUCCCUCUCAGCUGACCCCAGAGCACUUCCUUAGCUCCUGCUGAUCUCAGAGCACACACACCAAUCCACUCUGGCCACUCAGCAAUUUUUCUUGAUGGCCCUGGCAUGGCACCUAUGCUGGGGUCAGACCCUCAACCAGCCCUUCAGUGUUGAAAUGCACAACCUCAGCCCUCUAGCCUCAGCGGAGGAAGCAGGGCUCUUCAGUUUGGGAGAACCAUAUACAACCAGAAGGGGCCAAAAUAUCUGAAGCCCUCAGGUAGCGGGGCUAAAAGAAAGGGAUAAAUGGCCUCUUCUGUUUUUAUUUCUUUGUUUGUUUUUGUUUUUACUGGAAACAACUCUAAGGGGAGACUGGUCCCAGGGAAGAUGAUCCCCUGAAAGGCUAGUAAGCAGAUCACCUUUGAAUGUCAAGGGCAAAAUCAUUGUUGGUGUCCUGUGCUCCCUCCAGGAGCUGGCUCCUCCACAGCUCUCAGGAAUGACAGUAAACACAGACGGCCCUGCAUGUAUUCCGGCUAUGGCUGCCUUCCUCCUGGGCUGCACAUCAGGCUAACAAGCCCAGCCCUCAGCUUCACAGGGAUUGGAGAGCUGGUGACCCUAGUCAAGGAAGCUGGUGACCCUGGAUCAGUUGCCUCCCCUCUCUGUGCCUAAAUCCCCCACCCCACUUCUGUCAAUUAGGAGGAUGAUGCCUUCUUCAAAGUGUUGUCAUAAAGAUUAAAUCCUUAUUAAAGUCUGCUUUGGUUUUUGUUUUUGUUUUUUUUUUGAGAGUCUCACUCUGUCGCCCAGGCUGGAGUGCAUCUUGGCUCACUACAACCUCC